UACAGAGGUGGCAAGCGUUGUUCGGAAUUACUGGGCGUAAAGGGCGCGUAGGCGGCCUUCUAAGUCAGACGUGAAAUCCCUCGGCUUAACCGGGGAACUGCGUCUGAUACUGGAUGGCUUGAGGUUGGGAGAGGGAUGCGGAAUUCCAGGUGUAGCGGUGAAAUGCGUAGAUAUCUGGAGGAACACCGGUGGCGAAGGCGGCAUCCUGGACCAAUUCUGACGCUGAGGAGCGAAAGCCAGGGGAGCAAACGGG
RNAcentral lists this ribosomal RNA (253 nucleotides) under uncultured bacterium. RNAcentral describes it as "partial 16S ribosomal RNA". It matches the Rfam family "Bacterial small subunit ribosomal RNA", at positions 524 to 776 of the family's 1533-position model. The record is from RNAcentral.